UGUAAGCGUAUACCAAAGUUGUUGCAGUUAAAACGCUCGUAGUCGGAAUUUGGCAGUUCCGGAUGUGUGCACGUCGUGUGCGCACUUCGCGGGGAUUGCUUUUGUGGUCUUGCGUAGGAUGAGGCACUUUUAUUAGUGAACGUCCUCACGCAACCACUUUUUACUGUGAGAAAAUCAGAGUGCUCAAAGCAGGCAUUUGCCGUGAAUGUAUUAGCAUGGAAUAAUAGAAUAGGACUUGGUUCUAUUUUGUUGGUUUGUUGGGACUGAGUAAUGAUUAAGAGGACAGUUGGGGGCAUUUGUAUUUCGGUGCUAGAGGUGAAAUUCUUAGAUUACCGAAAGACAAACUGCUGCGAAAGCGUCUGCCAAGGAUGUUUUCAUUGA
RNAcentral lists this ribosomal RNA (381 nucleotides) under uncultured eukaryote. Its description in RNAcentral is "partial 18S ribosomal RNA". It matches the Rfam family "Eukaryotic small subunit ribosomal RNA", at positions 592 to 976 of the family's 1831-position model. The record is from RNAcentral.